Molecule: transfer RNA, 69 nt
Filed under: Cuneopsis heudei
Lineage: Eukaryota; Metazoa; Mollusca; Bivalvia; Unionida; Unionidae
Description: tRNA-His
Source: RNAcentral
UAAUGAGUAGUUUAAGUGAUAAAAACAAUAGGUUGUGGUUCUAUAGACAGGAUUAUUGACUCUCAUUAG